This 450-nucleotide ribosomal RNA is filed under the name uncultured bacterium. RNAcentral's name for it is "bacterial SSU rRNA". It matches the Rfam family "Bacterial small subunit ribosomal RNA", at positions 57 to 507 of the family's 1533-position model. The record is from RNAcentral.
GCAAGUCGAGCGGUAUUGUCUCUUCGGAACGNAGAGAGCGGCGCACGGGUGCGGAACACGUGUGCAACCUGCCUUUAUCUGGGGGAUAGCCUUUCGAAAGGAAGAUUAAUACCCCAUAAUAUUUUGAAUGGCAUCAUUUAAAAUUGAAAACUCCGGUGGAUAGAGAUGGGCACGCGCAAGAUUAGAUAGUUGGUAGGGUAACGGCCUACCAAGUCAGUGAUCUUUAGGGGGCCUGAGAGGGUGAUCCCCCACACUGGUACUGAGACACGGACCAGACUCCUACGGGAGGCAGCAGUGAGGAAUAUUGGACAAUGGGUGAGAGCCUGAUCCAGCCAUCCCGCGUGAAGGACGACGGCCCUAUGGGUUGUAAACUUCUUUUGUACAGGGAUAAACCUUUCCACGUGUGGAAAGCUGAAGGUAUUGUACGAAUAAGCACCGGCUAACUCCGUG